Non-coding RNA from Elaeis guineensis (African oil palm), 682 nucleotides. Lineage: Eukaryota; Viridiplantae; Streptophyta; Magnoliopsida; Arecales; Arecaceae. The record is from RefSeq and is a predicted model, not a curated record.
AAAAUAUUUCCCAUAUGCGGAAAGGCUAAAGUUGGUGACUUCGAUGCUCUGAUGAAAUUCUGAUGAAUUUUCUCGUGGCAUUGGAGUUUCCCCUCCUCUCCUUUCCGGGGUUCUCUUCCGAAUCCCACAUCGGUCAAAAUCGUUCCUUUGGCGAGUCCCGAUGGAGAAUUGCUGGGAUUUCAUCGAAUUAUUGAGGCCGGACUUCGUGCUUAUGUGGCUGGAUGAUCCCGGUGAUCUCGUGCGGCUUGCCGCCGUCUCCCGCUUCUAGGAGCAGUUUGGUUCCAGUAAUUUAAAAGUGGUUUCUGCAAGAAGCAGUGGUUAAGAUUGUGCCCGGAAGUAUCAGUUUUCACUCAUGCUACCGAUAUCAAUAGUUCAGAAGAAAUUGCCAAAGUUGGACUGAGCACUUAGACAGAAUGGGAGUGCCAGACGAAAGAGUACAUGUUAUGCUCCUAUUUUAGUUGCUGUGUUGCUUAUCCUCUGGCAAAGAGUGAUUGCAUCUAUGGGUCGAUUAGUGCUUCAACCACUGACAUUGGAAUCUAGAGAUCGAGCGCAUGCUGGGGCUUCUUCUUGGUCAAGCAAGGGGCAGACGGAUCCUGCGGUGCCCCAGAUGCUGACUUAACAAUUGAGGUCUAAACUGUGUCAUCAAUGAAAUAAAGAUACUGCCAUUUAAAGGUUAGUCCUU